GUGGUACAGGAUGGGCCCGCGUCUGAUUAGCCAGUUGGCAGGGUAACGGCCUACCAAAGCGACGAUCAGUAGCCGGCCUGAGAGGGCGGACGGCCACACUGGGACUGAGACACGGCCCAGACUCCUACGGGAGGCAGCAGUGGGGGAUAUUGCACAAUGGGGGGAACCCUGAUGCAGCGACGCCGCGUGGGUGAAGAAGCGCCUCGGCGCGUUUUUUCCUGUCAGCAGGGAAGAAAAUGACGGUACCUGAAGAAGAAGCCCCGGCUAACUACGUGCCAGCAGCCGCGGUAAUACGUAGGGGGCAAGCGUUAUCCGGAUUUACUGGGUGUAAAGGGGGCGCAGGCGGCGAUGCAAGCCAGGAGUGAAAGCCCGGGGCCCAACCCCGGGACUGCUCUUGGAACUGCGUGGCUGGAGUGCAGGAGGGGCAGGCGGAAUUCCUGGUGUAGCGGUGAAAUGCGUAGAUAUCAGGAGGAACACCGGUGGCGAAGGCGGCCUGCUGGACUGCAACUGACGUUGAGGCCCGAAAGCGUGGG
RNAcentral lists this ribosomal RNA (533 nucleotides) under uncultured bacterium. RNAcentral describes it as "bacterial SSU rRNA". It matches the Rfam family "Bacterial small subunit ribosomal RNA", at positions 215 to 765 of the family's 1533-position model. The record is from RNAcentral.